Molecule: unclassified non-coding RNA, 149 nt
Filed under: uncultured Helotiales
Lineage: Eukaryota; Fungi; Ascomycota; Leotiomycetes; Helotiales
Description: sequence contains ITS2
Source: RNAcentral
CAACCCUCAAGCCCAGCUUGGUAUUGGGUGUCACCUGGCAAUGGUGCACCUUAAAAUCAGUAGCGGUGCUAUCUGGCUUCAAGCGUAGUAAAACAAUCGCUUUGGAGGUUUGGAUAUGUUGCUUGCUAUCAACCCCUAAUUUAUUCAAA